GCGUUACGCUAUGCGUUAUCGCUAUUUUCAACAUUGGUAAGAACCUUCUAAGAUACUGCCAUCAUAAAUAACUCAGUAAUUAUAAUUUAGCACGUAAAAUUUGCACCUUUACUUCUUCAUAUAACUUCUUCUCCCAUGCAUACAAUCUGUCUAAUGUGUCCUGAUAGCUUCCAGAUAUCAUACAACAUUCUUCUGAGUAAUUUCUGCUGAUGAGGGGCCACUAAACAGAGAAGCAGGGUUAAAUAUCCUAGCUCCUGCACCGAGUAAAGAUUUGAGACAACUAUGUAAAAGCACAAAAAUUAAUUCCAUAUCGUCUACAAUUUGAUUACAAAUCCCUUAAGAUAAAUACAUAUUAUGCACGCGCAUAAAAUUUAUUACAUUUUAUUUUGCAACUAUGUCGAGUGAAGUAAGUAUAUGGUUCUUGGUUUUUAGCAUCUUGCUGAAAUUCAGGCACGACACUAAUUGUCAUCUACUUGGUAUUUCUAUGACAAAUUUAGGAUUAAUCACCAAUCAAUAUACCAAAAUGGAAACUAAACUUUGCAAAUAUCGGUUUACGUAAUGUUAUAUAUCUCCAAUCUCUGGAGGGGAGAAAAAGUAACACACAAGCACAGAGAUGAUACCUGUAAGUUCAGUUGGAGCAGAGUACUGAGCACUGUUUGCUUCGAGCAUGACUUAGACCUCUUUCGCAGAAUCAAAGGUUCUUACAAACUGGUUCUCGAUUCAAAAAUUCGUUUUGUUUUUGAUUCGUUUAUAUAUAGCUCUGUAAGUUAAAUGACAAAUCAUUUCGGUCCUUUAUUAUUUUUCAUGCUAUAGAAUUUAAAAAUUUUGUCGACAUGCUCCACUCACUACAUUACUGUAUGGGAUUGAACCCAUUUUCUUUAUGCAUUUAUCUUGACCAACUCAUGGUUUCAAAUGACUGUACAUUACUUAAUUGACCAUAUUAUGCUAAUUUUAACCAAGCAAUGGUAAACUGUUGGGCCGUGAUUGUGAUAUAGAUUCAUCUUCCAGCGGCUAGAGACCAACUCUCAACCUGCGAAUGUGGAGGCUAUUUUAUCUACAACAAAUAAUCAAAAAUUAACAGUGCAUCAUAGUCAAAUUAAUCUGAACGAUUGGCUCCGGCAUCUCUCGAUGACCAAGGUUUCCAAGACAUGAAACAUCUUUGCUGUAUUAUUGAUGUGAAAAUUGCACCUUAAUUCGGUACAGAGUUCAGAAAAUUGGGAGCCCUAAUCCUUCAUUCCUUUCAUCCUUCUCUCCGUCGGUUACGAAAUCCUUCGUUCCUUUCAUCCUCCUCUCUGUCGGUUACGACUUCGCUCUAGCAAUGCCCUCCCACUUUCUUAAAUCAUUAAUUGCCAACGAUGAGUAUUAUUGCCCUCAUCAUCUCCGCACCUCCUCUGCCAUCAUCUCCUCAGUUCUUAGAUUUUGGGCAUUUGUUCGGAUCUAGAAGGAAAAUCAUCGAAGAAGGCUCGGUGACUAUAGAGGCAUGAUGAUGAGAGUGAUAUCGAGAGUAGAGGAAAUGAUGGUGCAGUGCUCUGUGGAACCAGUAGUAGAGGAACUCGACUGGACCCAUAUGAAGCAAAGCCAUCAUUACUGCUCCAUCAGACCUCCAAAAAGGUAUGUUUCGAGCGCUUGGAAUGAACGAUCGUCCAAUAUAUUAUAACAAACCAUUGAGCAUGAUCUGGUCAUCCCUGUCUUUGUUAUUUUCAUAAAAAAUCAAGAAAUAUUUAUUAGAUCCAACAGAACCUAAGGACAUUACUUAAUUAUCUAUUUAUUGGUUCCUUUAUAGUGCAUAAUUCAAUUUUAUGCCUUGACAUAUUUUCCAUAAGUAGUACUUUUUGUUUGUAGCUGAUAUUGGAUGAGUAAGGAAAACAUUAAAAUCUUGAUGAUAACCUGUCUUCAACUUCAUGAUCAUCUAUGAAAAUUUAUAACUAAAAUCUUAGUAAUGAAUGCUAUAUGUAAUGUCAACCCACUUUUAGCUGCAUUAAAAGCAACCACAACUUGUUUGAGCAACUAGAUUCAACUUAUAAGUCUGGCAAUUUAACUGUCAGGUUGAAUGAGUUUGUUUGGAUCUACAACAUUGCACACUUUGAAGCUUUCUGCAAAAUAUCAGGCACAAAUAGCACUGAAUAAUGUGGAUGCUGCGAUACAAAGUUUCAAAAAAAAAAAAACACUAGAAUUAGAGCCAAAUGAUGGUGAUAUAUCUUCGUAAAUUUUAUUUUUUUUUAAUUUCUUGAGCAUGUUUCUACCAUACUGAUGUGUCGCGAUCUCUCUUAAAAAUAUAUGUUUGUUUGAAGGAAAAAUAAAGGAGGAACUUCUUGUUGUGAACAAGAAGGUAAGUGGAAUUAUGAGGCCAUUUGACUGCAUCUUCAAUUACUCGAGGAUUUUAUAUAAUAUCUCUAGCGAUUGAAAGAAGCUAAAAUCAAAACAUGGAAAAGUUCAACUUGGCAACAUCACUGUGGAUAUGGUGCUCAUCUUAACAAAUUAUGGAUAUGUCAAUUUUAUGUUUCCCAUGUGGCUAUGUGGGCAACACACCUAUUACUAGCACAUAGCCGAUAGUGUGCGGAUAACGUUAAUUGAUCUCAAAUCUUUGAAUUUUGAUAGGUUAUAGGUGGAAUGAGAGGAAUGACUGGAUUAUUGUGAGAAACAUUAUUACUUGAUCCUGAUGACGUGAGUUUGGUUUUAAUAUAUGCUAUGUAUUGAAGACAAGUGCAUUUUUUUAUAAAAUAUUGCAAAAAAAUGAAAAUUUGAUACAA
Asparagus officinalis (garden asparagus) is the source of this 2750-nucleotide RNA transcript. RefSeq lists it as uncharacterized. The transcript is spliced from 5 exons. NCBI's taxonomy places the organism in Eukaryota, Viridiplantae, Streptophyta, Magnoliopsida, Asparagales, Asparagaceae. The record is from RefSeq and is a predicted model, not a curated record.